This 326-nucleotide ribosomal RNA is filed under the name uncultured eukaryote. RNAcentral describes it as "partial 18S ribosomal RNA". It matches the Rfam family "Eukaryotic small subunit ribosomal RNA", at positions 1470 to 1796 of the family's 1831-position model. The record is from RNAcentral.
CCCUUAGAUGUUCUGGGCCGCACGCGCGCUACACUGAUGCAUUCAACGAGUUUUACCUUGGCCGAGAGGCCUGGGCAAUCUUUUAAACCUGCAUCGUGAUAGGGAUAGAUUAUUGCAAUUAUUAAUCAUGAACGAGGAAUUCCUAGUAAGUGCAAGUCAACAGCUUGCGUUGAUUACGUCCCUGCCCUUUGUACACACCGCCCGUCGCUACUACUGAUUGGAUGUUUAAGCGAGGUUCUCGAACUGCUAGUGACUGAUCUUCGGUGAGGUCGCAGUGUGGGAAGUGAACCUAGCUUUGGUGUCUAGAGGAAGUAAAAGUCGUAACA